Molecule: long non-coding RNA, 445 nt
Organism: Gopherus flavomarginatus (Mexican gopher tortoise)
Lineage: Eukaryota; Metazoa; Chordata; Testudines; Testudinidae
Exons: 3
Source: RefSeq, a predicted model, not a curated record
CCAGGUGUGGAAUAAAAUUCUGCCUCCUUAAGCUCGUGUUUUCCAUGCCUAGAAUUCAACUGUCACCAGAUGGAUCAGACUGAACAGGUUUCAAACCUCCAGGAGGCUCUUACCUUCUAAACAGGGACGGCUGUUUUCUAGUAAAAUCACUAAAAGGGAAGGAGAAAACUCAAAAGAGGUUCCUCCUGGCGCUCACGUCCGUGAACCCGAAUACUCUCUCAGUCCUCAAAGAGAGACCUGGAGAAGGAGACUUGCUGAAGCAAAGCCACAGGGGUCUCUGAGGUUUCCCUGGCCCCUCACCCCUGUCCUGCCUGGCUGAUGUCAGCAUCUCUCUGUGAGGUCACCACCCCCCAUCACCUUGGACCAAUAGUCUGAGGUCCUGCAAAAGGCCUUUGUGAUGUCACUGCCACACCCCUCCCUUGAUGUGCCAAUAUCCUGCCCCUGG